RNAcentral lists this unclassified non-coding RNA (325 nucleotides) under uncultured fungus. Its description in RNAcentral is "partial contains 5.8S ribosomal RNA and internal transcribed spacer 2". The stretch from base 1 to 133 matches the Rfam family "5.8S ribosomal RNA", at positions 22 to 154 of the family's 154-position model. Lineage: Eukaryota; Fungi. The record is from RNAcentral.
UGGUUCCGGCAUCGAUGAAGAACGCAGCGAAAUGCGAUAAUUAAUGUGAAUUGCAGAAUUCAGUGAAUCAUCGAGUCUUUGAACGCACAUUGCGCCCCCUGGUAUUCCGGGGGGCAUGCCUGUCCGAGCGUCAUUGCUGCCCUCAAGCACGGCUUGUGUGUUGGGCCCCGCCCCCCCGGGGGCGGGCCCGAAAGGCAGCGGCGGCACCGCGUCCGGUCCUCGAGCGUAUGGGGCUUUGUCACCCGCUCUGUAGGCCCGGCCGGCGCCUGCCGACACCCUCAAUCUUCUUCAGGUUGACCUCGGAUCAGGUAGGGAUACCCGCUGA